Molecule: non-coding RNA, 73 nt
Organism: Stegodyphus mimosarum
Lineage: Eukaryota; Metazoa; Arthropoda; Arachnida; Araneae; Eresidae
Source: Rfam
ACCUUCGUGGUGUAGUGGUCAGCACGCUCGACUUGUAACGGAGAGGUCCGUGGUUCGGUUCCCGGCGAAGGCG